GACGAACGCUGGCGGCGUGCUUAACACAUGCAAGUCGAACGGAAAGGCCCUGCUUUUGUGGGGUGCUCGAGUGGCGAACGGGUGAGUAACACGUGAGUAACCUGCCCUUGACUUUGGGAUAACUUCAGGAAACUGGGGCUAAUACCGGAUAGGAGCUCCUGCUGCAUGGUGGGGGUUGGAAAGUUUCGGCGGUUGGGGAUGGAUUCGCGGCUUAUCAGCUUGUUGGUGGGGUAGUGGCUUACCAAGGCUUUGACGGGUAGCCGGCCUGAGAGGGUGACCGGCCACAUUGGGACUGAGAUACGGCCCAGACUCCUACGGGAGGCAGCAGUGGGGAAUAUUGCACAAUGGGCGGAAGCCUGAUGCAGCAACGCCGCGUGCGGGAUGACGGCCUUCGGGUUGUAAACCACUUUCGCCUGUGACGAAGCGUGAGUGACGGUAAUGGGUAAAGAAGCACCGGCUAACUACGUG
Molecule: ribosomal RNA, 468 nt
Filed under: uncultured bacterium
Lineage: Bacteria
Description: partial 16S ribosomal RNA
Rfam family: Bacterial small subunit ribosomal RNA
Source: RNAcentral